GCUGGAAGCGGGACGACUGGAGGGUGUCGCCGCUGUCAACGGCGAGGCUUGCGGUUUCAACGGCGGCUUCCAGUUC
This 76-nucleotide transfer RNA is filed under the name Streptomyces nigrescens. RNAcentral describes it as "tRNA-Asp". The record is from RNAcentral. Lineage: Bacteria; Bacillati; Actinomycetota; Actinomycetes; Kitasatosporales; Streptomycetaceae.